CUAGUUCCUUCGACAUCAAUGUAAUCUAAUAAUCAUGAUUUUUUUUGGUUAAUGAUUAUUAGAUUACAUUGAUGUCGAAGGAAAUA
Molecule: non-coding RNA, 86 nt
Organism: Paramuricea clavata
Lineage: Eukaryota; Metazoa; Cnidaria; Anthozoa; Malacalcyonacea; Plexauridae
Source: the annotation of a GenBank genome assembly